GCCUCCCCUGCCGCCCCCUUCGCCGCCUCCCCAGCCGCAGCUUGGCCGCCGCCACACCGCCUCCGCCACACUGCCACUCCGCGGGCCACCCCUCGAUUCCUUCAUCCUCUUCCCGAGCCGCUGGCGUCCAUCACGCGCCCCCUACUCUUCUCCUCCAACCUGGCCAGUCCCCACACCCGGAGCCCCUGCGGAUCGAGGCGUCUUCCACGCAGAGGACAACGCGGGGAACCUCCAUUGCCCUCCAUUCUGACGGCCGCCCUACAGUGGCCCUGACACAAUGGUUCCCUCUAUUGUUCUGAUCGAGCGACGUGUUCAUUUUUUAUAUUUUUUCUGUGGCAGAUCAUGACGACGACCCUGACAGGAGAGGAGGAGGAGGACACGGAGAAGAAGGACCGAGAGUUAGACAUGGAUGUGCACUAUGAGGCAACACGCCGCCGUGUUUGCGCCGCCAUCUUCUGAUCUCUUCAGCAUUCCUGCUGUCUUGGGUUUUCUCUACACACGCAGUGUUUAGAACGAUGCCCGCUUCAGAGUUUCAGUUCAACUCACCCAGACAGAAAAUACAUUCUAUCACUGGCUAAGCAUAGUACGAACUGGGUGGACAUGGAGUCAAGGACAUGGAACAAGGUGGCGAAAAAAUAAGUGGUUGUGGAAGCAAUGGUUUGUUUGGGGAGGUGGAGAAAGUUUUUAUGUUAUUUUUGCUAAGUCAGAACUCGGAGUCGGGACAACUCAACAAGGGAACGAGGAGCCUCAAGGGAGAUACCUGCAUAACACUAGAUGCAGUGAAGAAGGAAUCAGAAAUGUUCUUAUGUUUUAGUGGCGGAAUGGCAAGGCGGCCGGUUAGAUGACCUGGGUCCGUGGCGAGUUGGGGCUCUCGACUACAAGAAGAUCAUUGAGGCAAUCGAUAGUAGAUUUCAACAAGACUCUAUAAAGGGCUCUAAGGGAGUAGAGGAAUCAAAAGAAAACACCUGACAGUGCAAAGUGCACUUAGGCAGUAAGGUCAACACAAGACUACUCAUGAAACGCCUCCAUCAGGAGGCCAAAAUAUACACAUACGAACUCCCGGAUAUUGCAUACCGGGGAGCUUUCUUCUAUUUAGGAUUUAAGGCUGAUAAUAUGCUCACGAAAAGACAGGAAUGCAGCACCACUCCAAUCUUUAGAAGGUCCCCACCCUGUUCUGGUAUGUUUAUGCUUAUGCAUCUACAGAAUUAUUCGAUGUUAUAUUGAUGUGUGAAUGGUGUAUCCCUGUUCUGGUAUGAAAAUCGGGUUGCUAGGAAUAAUCUCCAUCAUUCCUGGGUUGUGCAUAUGUGUUGUUCUAUAUUCCCCUCUUUAUAAUGCUAUGUAUUGUGGUCAACGCUCCCAAGCUAUGAUAGCUCGCUGCUGGUAGGUUGCCGCCCUGGCCCCCACAUGCUACCAGCAUGUGUUACUGUACAUUUUGCUUUCUUACAUGUCCUGAAUUAUAUUUCAAGGAAGAUGACUAUGAUUUAUAAGCACACGAACACAUCACAAUGUCACAUAGUAAUGCCAUGUGAUGGCAAUCUAGGGUCAUUUCUGUUAGAGAAGCCCCCUACCCCCUAGCCCCAGAUAUGCGAAUUCUGAGCGUCACCACGAAUAAGUGCAGAGGAAUAGUGGGUAGACCGCAAACCCUAAAUUUCUAGCAAUUCUGAAUACAUUCAUGUGACAAUGAGGUGUCCAUGUAAUCAUGAUGUUAUAUUAGAUUUUUUAUGUUGUUAUUUCUUGCCCUGCUAGUACAACUAUGUAUACAAAACUCCAACACUGCUA
This is a long non-coding RNA of Triticum dicoccoides, 1779 nucleotides long. RefSeq lists it as uncharacterized. Lineage: Eukaryota; Viridiplantae; Streptophyta; Magnoliopsida; Poales; Poaceae. The record is from RefSeq and is a predicted model, not a curated record. The transcript has 6 exons.